AGCUGGUGUGAGUAAGUGGAGGCGGGGCUAAUUCGCAUAUUCAUUGCUCCGCGUAUACUAAAUGAAGCAAGGGUGUAGAGUUACAUUCAAGCUAUUUUAAGGCAUGAAGAAAUUUUUUUUCACAAGUCAUUUCGGUGAUCAAAGAUGAGUUUUAAGGGAUAAAAUUAUUGAUUACAGGGGGACUAAGUAUAACAGUUAGCUAUCAGUCUGCAUAUCAAUUAUGGUGCAUUUAAAUGUAGAAGAUUUGUAUAAAAUUCUUUAUUUACAACAUGGAUGCUAUUCAAACAACAGUACCAGUUUAAAAUGCUUAAAACAAUUAUUUGGAAUCUGAAUGCAGAAGUACCGUUCAGAUCACAGCCCUUGUGUUCAUUAGUGUGAGGCUAGCUUGCCGUCUAAUGUACCUUCAAGGCUGGCUGUACUGAAGUGUUUCUCAUGCAGCGCGAGGGCAACUACAUUCCAUCUUUAAUCAAUAGGCUCUGCAGAGGUCUUCAGCUCCCUUUGAAGCAAAGGCCUGGAUCUGGUUUCCUAAUCACCCCCACCCUUUUUCCUUUCCAAUACAAUGAAGCUGUUUUCACAAACUACAUAUAAGACGAGAGCAGAGGCUUACAGAGGGAGAACAGAAAAUGCAAUUUCAGGCAGAAACCAAAGAGUAAGAGACAGUUUCGUUUCAAAAUCACUUUCAAUUACAUUAAAAUGAUGAUACAAAAACAAGUCUUAAAAUAUCUCGCUGUGCCACAGACCCUCAGCCAAUGACACAAGGGUUUACUGUCAGUGCAGCCAGAAGUUCUCCAAUCACAGAGCCUGAGGAGUGUUAGUGAGACCAAAAGGCACAAUGUGAAAAGGAAAGAGCAGGCUAGAGCAAGCUAAGUGUUCUUAAUUGUUAACGCUUGUUUUUGUGGGAGCAGAAAGAAUGGAAAACAGAAAAGCAGAACAUUGAUCAGGCAAGAGGUGAGCACUAAACAAACCCAGCAUGAGCAACAACUCACCACAGCGCAGCGUCGAUGGGCUGACUUCAGACAAACCUCCUUACACCCUGCUCGGCCUCAGACAAUUUGAAGAUCUCUAAACCUGCGGACAUUCAGACAUGUUGCUAGGCAACCUACUCACGCUACACUGCAGGGGAACAUGUGAGGGACGUAACAGCAGAUCUGGUGCAGGUUCAUUUCAGGGAACCUUGAUCUACUAUUUACAUGCAUUUCUUCUCACAGUUAAAGCUUUAAAUUGAAUAAGGGGAAUGGACUAAAGCAGAAUUUUUUAUUUGUUUAGCAGCUGGCCAUCUACUUCCUGAGGUACAGGAAGGCCAAAGGACAAUUAGCUGGUGAAGAAUGACGUCAAUUACCAUGGAGAUUCUUCUCUGGUCCAAAACAGUCAGAUAAUAGGAUUUUUUCUCCCCUCUGAAGCCAACAUCCUGAGUCAGCAUGAGGUGAAAAUUCACCCUCUCUAUUUUCUAAACGCAUGUUAAAGAUCUUGUCGUGACCAAUUCAUCCAUGCAUUUUUUAAAUUUAAAAAAAAAAUUGUUUUGACCUCAAUGUCUAAUCAAAAUGUCAUAACUGGAGAAAAAUACAAACUUAUCUCUGGUGACAUAUGCAGAACGUCUUCAAUCUUUUAGUCUACUUAAACCCACCCCUUCAAGCUCACAUCCAUCUACCUCCACUUUUGAGUCCAAUGCCUACAUCUCAAAAUCCAAUCAACAACCGAUGCACAGAACCAAGUCCCCACCCUACAUUUUUUUUUUCCCCAUUUCGGACAAUCCAUUAAACUCUGAUACAUGUCACAAUACGGAAGAAAACAUCUAGCGCUACUUUGGUUUCAUCGCAACCUUAAAGACAACAGGAUGACUAAGGCUGUUUACACCAUGAGCAUUAACGGUCUGUUGAAUUCUGAGAAUUAAACCAAUCAAACAUAUGUGCCAAAAUCAUAUGGAAGUGUGUUCUGGUGCCGAAUAGAGUGUUGGAACUAUGAUGCAUUUUUGCAGGCCAAAACCCGGAAGCGAGUUAGCAUUUUAGCACAUCCCGUUCCAUCGUACCGAAGUCAAUGGUUUUUUUUGAAUGGGUUUUUGGUUAAAUGGCUGAAAUAAGGUCGGUGUUUAACAAGCUCAAGGUACUUUCAUGUUUUAUUCCACGAGAUAAAAUACAUCAGUAUUACCCUACCCGUGACGCUGUUAUGUGUCUUGAAAAGGACUGUUUUGCAGCCUUGUUAUGCUUAUUAUUGCGCUCUUACAAUCAAUUCUAAUUUAAACUUUACGGGAAUAUGAUUUUAGAUAAAAAAUAAAAGAGUUGGAGGCUUAGUGAUGGUGACGCUGAAAUCGUGGGACCUUGGUGUAGCUUGUUUAUAGCAUACCUUUAGCUUUUUUGCUUCAUUUAGGCUUCAAAAGUCAUAAAAGUUGUGUUCAUCUGUGAAAAUUAUCUUGAUGGACAAAAUGUGUAACUUUGUUAAAUCACAGACCUUAUUUUUUGCGAUAAUCAAAAGCCUAUGGGAAAAUCCUAUUGGGUUUUUGUCGAGGGAACCAGCGAGGAGCUAACUGCCGAUUGGCCUACAAAGUCAUGUCAUAGUUCCACCACUCUAUUGGAACAGGAAAGAGGCUGCGAGAGUGUGAUGCAGUUGAGACAUCAGAGGACUGAAAGGAGAUGAGGGGCAAUGUGUUCUAGAGUGUCAUCAUGUGUCAUAAAACAACACAACUUCACACCCCCAACUCUCACUCAAUCAACACAGCCUUUGAAAAUAUAUUGAACACUUAAACAGGGAUAACAAAUACAACAAAUACCACCAUAUCUAAUCUACUAACCUAUGAACAGAUUUAAUACUGUUAUAAAAAGUCACAAUCAACAUAUCUUUAAAAUAAACAUGAAACACCAAUGUCAAACUAUUUUAGUGAAACAGGAAAAUGGGUGGGACUUCAUUUUAUUAAUCAGGAUUGCAUUAGAUUGUGAAAAGUGGGCAUUGCACACCAGAAUGCAACCAGACCUGACUGCAAGUUUGAGACGUUUUUUUCUUUGAAAUAGUGUGCACUGAUGACACACAUUAAUAAAAAUCUCCUAUUAGCAAAGCUUCAAUGCAAUCACUCCCCACAUUCACUGCAAUGUCCACUUUUGUUCAAAAACCAAAUGUUACCAUUUACCCUUGCUCAUUUCCUUCUUCCAAACAUGCACACUUGCUGUCACUCCCUCACAAACAAAAACACUAAGAAAAAAAGUUUCUAGAUGCCAAACACUUGCCAAAGUUUUAAAUAAGCUUGCGGUUGGGGAAAUUGUAUCAACUUUUUUUUUUUUUUAAAUGCUGGAUUUAACCGUCCAGAGCUCAACUCCCAGCCUGGUCUCUCUUAAACAUAUCUUCAGGAAUGCCAAAUACACAGCACUAAACUCACAAAAGGACUGUGUGGCCUUAAAGUAGAGGAUGGAGGAGUCGUAAGGGAAAACUCUCCAACGAUUGCUCAUGGGCGCGUGAAAGCUGAACCAGAUAGGGCAGGACAGACCUCACACCUGCUCCAGCAACAGCUGCUCUCCAUGUCUCUGACACUCCCUGUCCUUUGCUCUCGGCUACAAUCCCCUCAGCAUUGCCCAACACCUGCAACCACCCACUACCUUGGCGCCUACCUGCUGUUUCCUUCCACGUAGGUGCCAAGGCACUGUGCACACACUCAUAAAACCUGCAAACCAAACAACAUUGCAAGCUCAAAUAUCUGAGCAGAUCACUGAAUAAAGAAAAGGGCUCUACCAUAAAAGAAGUCCAUAUGACUCGUACACUAGGGCUCAAAUAUCCAACUUACCAUGGGCCACCCCCUUCCGCUAGAACCACAAAACUGAGUUGAGAGGACUACAAGAGUAGCUAAAAUGUUCAGUGAUGAAGACACGAAGCAAGGGAAGUGUUGAACUUUGUGAAUGACAGGUGUUCAAACUUUCAGAUUCUGUGCAUGCCUAGUAAUCUGUCUAAGCAAGAGCUGUCAGGUCAAAGUAAUCCAAAGGAUGUAUAGGUGUGAGCGUAGUGAGCUUUAGACCCAGCACUGGAUUACAGCACCUGUGUGCUCCCGUCCUUGACCUUAAGGAAGCCGUUGGGCCUGUUAUUGCAUCAGUCUGGAGUCAACAACAUUUUUGCCAGCUCUACUUAGCCCUCACACAUUGUUCAGAAAAGACAGUGACAUCCUCUUAAAUAUGCAAUGUGCCUGAUAUUACAGCAUACAGCACAGGGUAGAAUUAUGUAAAAUCCAGACCAAAACACACCUAGAUUCUCAGCUUGUCCCAACAUGCAAGGCCACAAUCCUAGAUACCAGGUGUUGAUUCAUGUUGGGCAUAUAUUAUCGAUGCUCUAAUUCAGCGAGGCUCUUGGAUGUGAGAAAAUUUGCAUUGAAAUUCUUUUGUGACUUAUGGCCAUCACAACCCCCAGAUUUACACAUUCUACUCAAAGGACUGUCUUCCAACUUCUGUCUAUUUUUUCAUAGCAUCUGUAUUAAUUUGGGCUGACUAGACAUCUUUUAACCUCUGUGGUUUUGCCGCUUCCUGCGUCCACACACUCGAAAUUCUGUCCUGGAGAUUCAAGCAGCUCUCCACCUCUCUGCCAGACCAUGACAUCACUCCUCCAAAGCUGCUCUAUAUUUAGCUGCUCACCCCCCGUUGAGCCUCACAACUCUAGGCCUGACUCCCUCCUCCCUCUCCUUACUGUUCUCUUUCCCUCAGAUGGCUCAUCCCUCGCCGAGAGAUGAAGGGGAGGGGAAAAGAUUGGGUGAGUUGAAAAGAGAAGGGGGGGUGGGGGGUAAGCGCACAGGAAGAUAGAGGGGAGGUGAUUGAGAUGGCAUGAGCUAUGGCACCAUAAAUAAAAGGCAACCUCCAUAAACUGGCUAGCCUCUGCAAUGCUCCCAAUCUCCCUUCUGUGCUCUCACGCAAUUUCAUCAGUCUGCACGGAUGACGGCUCGGCAUUGCAAGGCUUAGCCUGCCCAACCAAGGAACAAGAAGAGGAGGGGUAGAGCAGAAGAGUACCAAAAAGAGAAGGGGAGUGGGAAGCACAAAAAUACAACUGGCAUUUGAAAAUCCUCUUGGCACAGAAUAACAUCCUGGCUCGUGCAGCAAUUUAUUCACACAAUCACCUUGCUGCUAAAGUCAAAGUGUGGUGGUGCGGAGGAGGCGGUGCCAGAGACAGUUGGGCCGAAAUUGCCACGCUCAGCAACUGCGCACAGACAUGCUUUUUACAGCCAUUCCUCACUCUCUCAGCCAGACAGAACAAGGCUCUGCAGGUCUAAGCAAAACAUCUGGUGGAAGGUUUAGAAAUGGUUGUUCUUCAACCUCCUGGAAAACUACAGUUGCAGACGCAAGCCUUGGUCACGAAAUCUCCAGUCGGCAGCAUUCCGUGUUGUGUCCUAUCAGUCUAGAGUACUGGCCAAAUGCAACUGGGCAUACACUCAGCAGUUGGUGAUGGAAAGUCCAAAAGCCAUGCCAGAGGAAAGUGUGAUGGGGAAGGGUGGACUGGUCCAUUUUAUAAAUGUAACAUUGUUUGGGCUACAGACAGAGCUGUAGUUUUUGGGUUCAUACAGAAUUUUCACAGGUUGACAAUUGCUGUUCACACCUACUAUAUACUGGCAUUUUAAAACGGGUUGAUCAUUGUGUAUAUUUCGUGUAGAACACACAAAACCAACUCUGUCCAGUAGUUCUCUGGGCUGCCAUGACGUGGCAAUCCACAGGGUCUGAAGUGCUGUGCCUUUGCCAUGGGCUUUGGCAAAGACAGAAAAAGAGGAGGUGGUCUCACUAAAGGUCACAGCACUGGAAAAUCUCAACUGGAUGUGUCUGUGGAGCUGGAAAUGUAAUAUGGAGCAGACAGACGUGGCUUUUUAUUUCCCCUGACCACAGCGCUCCAAUGUACAGCAGCAAGAAAGACAGGAGCUCGUACAAGAGGCCACUUCAGCCUUCAAGCACACUGAUCAGUGGUGUCAGUGAAAGGCCAAUAGAGAUGGGCUAUAUGAAAGGAUGCAGUGUCUACUCAAAUGCAUCAAUCCCCUGAGUUCCCCCAAGAACUACUCCAGAAAACUAAGAAGAAUAGGAACGUUUUUGAAAUUUUUUUGGUUUCAGUUUUAAGGUGCUUUAUUGCAUGACAUGUAUUGCCAAAAACAUUCACAGUGACAAAAAAGAUGCCACUCAAACUAAAAAUGUAAUUAUAAUAAAUUAUGAAAGAGCAUUAAUAAAUUGUGCUAGAGACAAAGAAUGGAGUCCUAUCACUCACUAUUCUUCAAAUUGUUACAGACACAUGCUGUGCUGCUAGAACCAAACAGCCUGCACAUCCCCCCUGAAAUCAAACGGAUUCUAACCAACACUUGUGCAAUUCCAUACUAUUCCUGCUGUAUUUCCAUUUAGUCAUGGAGAAGCUCAGAAGUGUUAGGUCGCUAUAUUAGGUGUGUUUGUUUCAGUGGGGGCAGGUGAACAGUAGAUCGGGUUCAUCUCAUUCCAAUCACGUAGUGUGCUGAUGCUCACUUCUCUGCCCCCCAUGCAAAUUGUGCAGUCCAACAGGCUGUUGUCAAGGCAACUGCAAGUGUCCAGCCCCGUCGCAUGAGGAUAUUAAAAAAAAAAAAAACCUUCAUAAUUUCAAAA
Long non-coding RNA from Ctenopharyngodon idella (grass carp), 6569 nucleotides. RefSeq lists it as uncharacterized. The record is from RefSeq and is a predicted model, not a curated record. The transcript has 2 exons. Lineage: Eukaryota; Metazoa; Chordata; Actinopteri; Cypriniformes; Xenocyprididae.